Molecule: long non-coding RNA, 841 nt
Organism: Cercocebus atys (sooty mangabey)
Lineage: Eukaryota; Metazoa; Chordata; Mammalia; Primates; Cercopithecidae
Exons: 2
Source: RefSeq, a predicted model, not a curated record
AUCCACUUGCCUCGGCCUCCCAAAGUGCUGGGAUUACAGACGUGAGCCACUGCCCCUGGCCUGAUAGUCAUUCUUCUGCAAAUAGUUUGGAAUUGGAGACCUCAAUAGUGAUAACUGUAACUUCUAAUUUUGUACAAUAGUAACUGAGUUAGUAUUUAAUGCAGUGUACCCAGUCUAUAUCACAUGCGUAUUUGCUAUGUUUAUAACCCAACACACUGGCAUAUGAAAUGGUUUAAAGGGAAAGUCUCCAUUUCUGGAUUCUUUGGAAAUGUGAUUACUUACAACCUGUCUUUAACAUGUAGGAAAACCAUUUUACUUUGAUUAUUUCAUAUCAAAUUAACAACUUGCAAAAUUAAGUGGAGGAUAGGCAGUUAUCUUAAUAAACUAAUACAGAAAACAACAUUGGCUUAAUUUCAGAGUAAUCUUUUUAAAUAAAUUAUUUUUGUUGUUAACUGAAACCACUUUUCCAAUUUGUAUUUAUUCAGAGGAAAAAUUUUUAAAAGUCACCUCGUAAUGAAGACCAGCAUCAGUUUAUAUGGUGUGAGUUCUUUUCAUUUGUCUUAGAUUGCAUCUACACUGACAGAAGAAAGUAGAAAGCAUUCCUCCCCUCUGGAGCAUGCAGUUUUCAAGGGAUCAUCUUGGAAGCACAGACUGGACCCUCAGGAGAAAACAAACCUGCCAGCACGUUGAUCUUGAACUUCCCAGCCAUCAGGACUGUGAGAAAAUAAAUUUCUGUGUUUUAUAAAUUACCCAGUAUCCAGUAUUUUGUUAUAGCAGCACAAAUAGACUAGGACAGCAUGUGAAAAAAGUGGAGGAGAAUGGCAAAAAAAAAAAAAAAAAA